AUGAACGCUGGCGGCGUGCCUAAUACAUGCAAGUCGAGCGAACGGACGAGAAGCUUGCUUCUCUGAUGUUAGCGGCGGACGGGUGAGUAACACGUGGAUAACCUACCUAUAAGACUGGGAUAACUUCGGGAAACCGUAGCUAAUACCGGAUAAUAUUUUGAACCGCAUGGUUCAAAAGUGAAAGACGGUCUUGCUGUCACUUAUAGAUGGAUCCGCGCUGCAUUAGCUAGUUGGUAAGGUAGCGGCUUACCAAGGCAACGAUGCAUAGCCGACCUGAGAGGGUGAUCGGCCACACUGGAACUGAGACACGGUCCAGACUCCUACGGGAGGCAGCAGUAGGGAAUCUUCCGCAAUGGGCGAAAGCCUGACGGAGCAACGCCGCGUGAGUGAUGAAGGUCUUCGGAUCGUAAAACUCUGUUAUUAGGGAAGAACAUAUGUGUAAGUAACUGUGCACAUCUUGACGGUACCUAACCAGAAAGCCACGGCUAACUACGUG
RNAcentral lists this ribosomal RNA (496 nucleotides) under uncultured bacterium. Its description in RNAcentral is "partial 16S ribosomal RNA". It matches the Rfam family "Bacterial small subunit ribosomal RNA", at positions 29 to 507 of the family's 1533-position model. The record is from RNAcentral.